GGUGGAUGAGGUUGCCAUUCCUUUCCCCAUCCCAGCCUGGGGUUCUGUGGUCUUACGUUUUGUUAGGGUCAACCUGGAGUUGAGGUCUCAGUAAGCAGGUAGUGUAGAUUGUUCACGUCUUCCAAAGGUAGGAUCAUUACAGACUCAGGGUGGGUGGGUGUAGACCUUUGCUCUGGAUGGUGGCUUUGGCAUCCUUCCAGCGAAAGCUUUGGGAGAUCCAGCCCUUCCUUAACUCAUGGAUUUCUUGUCAGCCUUCUUGUCACCAUGUGUCUCACCCUGCCAUUUCAGAAAAUUGUUCGUUGGUGGCCUGAGCUGGGAUAUCAGCAAAAAGGACCCAAAAGACUAUUUUACCAAAUUUGGAGAGGUUGUUGACCGUACUAUAAAAAUGGAUCCCAACGUUGGAAGAUCAAGAGAGUUGGGGUUUAUCCUCUUUAAAGAUGGAGCCAGUGUGAGGAGGUCCUAGACCAGAAGGAGCGCAAGGUGAGUGGCCGUAGCAUGAACC
Molecule: long non-coding RNA, 502 nt
Organism: Ceratotherium simum simum (southern white rhinoceros)
Lineage: Eukaryota; Metazoa; Chordata; Mammalia; Perissodactyla; Rhinocerotidae
Source: RefSeq, a predicted model, not a curated record